Molecule: ribosomal RNA, 457 nt
Filed under: Alloxysta sp. A ZY-2017
Lineage: Eukaryota; Metazoa; Arthropoda; Insecta; Hymenoptera; Figitidae
Description: partial 16S ribosomal RNA
Source: RNAcentral
CUGCUCAAUGAAUUUUAUUUUCAAAUAGCUACAAUAUUUUAAUUGUACGAAGGUAGCAUAAUCAUUUGUCUUUUAAUUAAAGAAUUGAAUGAAAGAUUAUAUAAAAUAUUAACUAUAUAAAUUUAAUAAAAAUUCAAAUUUUAUUUUCAAGUAAAAAAUCUUAAAUAUAAUUAUUAGACGAUAAAACCCUAUAGAACUUUAUAUAAUAUAACUUUGAAUGAAAAUUUAAUUAUUUAAAUUAAUUAUUCAUUAUAUUAAAUUGGGGGUGUUAAAAUAUCAAAAUAAUUUUUUUAUAAAAUUUAUCAUUGAAUUUAUGAAAAUAUUUAAAAGAGUGUUUACAUAAAAAUUAUUAAAUUAAGUUACCUUAGGGAUAACAGUAUAAUUUUUUUUUCAAUCUUUUAUUGAUAAAAAAGAUUAUGACCUCGAUGUUGAAUUAAGAUAAAUAUUAAAAGAAAAU